GACGAACGCUGGCGGCGUGCUUAACACAUGCAAGUCGAACGGAAAGACCCUGCUUUUGUGGGGUGCUCGAGUGGCGAACGGGUGAGUAACACGUGAGUAACCUGCCCUUGACUUUGGGAUAACUUCAGGAAACUGGGGCUAAUACCGGAUAGGAGCUCCUGCUGCAUGGUGGGGGUUGGAAAGUUUCGGCGAUUGGGGAUGGACUCGCGGCUUAUCAGCUUGUUGGUGGGGUAGUGGCUUACCAAGGCUUUGACGGGUAGCCGGCCUGAGAGGGUGACCGGCCACAUUGGGACUGAGAUACGGCCCAGACUCCUACGGGAGGCAGCAGUGGGGAAUAUUGCACAAUGGGCGGAAGCCUGAUGCAGCAACGCCGCGUGCGGGAUGACGGCCUUCGGGUUGUAAACCGCUUUCGCCUGUGACGAAGCGUGAGUGACGGUAAUGGGUAAAGAAGCACCGGCUAACUACGUG
This 468-nucleotide ribosomal RNA is filed under the name uncultured bacterium. RNAcentral's name for it is "partial 16S ribosomal RNA". It matches the Rfam family "Bacterial small subunit ribosomal RNA", at positions 28 to 507 of the family's 1533-position model. The record is from RNAcentral.